RNAcentral lists this ribosomal RNA (253 nucleotides) under uncultured bacterium. Its description in RNAcentral is "partial 16S ribosomal RNA". It matches the Rfam family "Bacterial small subunit ribosomal RNA", at positions 524 to 776 of the family's 1533-position model. The record is from RNAcentral.
UACGGAGGGUGCAAGCGUUAAUCGGAAUUACUGGGCGUAAAGCGCACGCAGGUGGCUGAGUAAGUCGAUUGUGAAAGCCCUGGGCUUAACCUGGGAAUUGCAGUCGAUACUGCUCGGCUAGAGUAUGGGAGAGGGUAGUGGAAUUCCCGGUGUAGCGGUGAAAUGCGUAGAUAUCAAGAGGAACACCAGUGGCGAAGGCGAGUCCCUGGACGAUACCUGACACUGAGGCACGAAAGCCGGGGGAGCAAACAGG